This 1343-nucleotide ribosomal RNA is filed under the name uncultured bacterium. RNAcentral describes it as "16S ribosomal RNA". It matches the Rfam family "Bacterial small subunit ribosomal RNA", at positions 28 to 1378 of the family's 1533-position model. The record is from RNAcentral.
GACGAACGCUGGCGGUGUGCUUAACACAUGCAAGUCGAACGGAAAGGCCCUGCUUUUGUGGGGUGCUCGAGUGGCGAACGGGUGAGUAACACGUGAGUAACCUGCCCUUGACUUUGGGAUAACUUCAGGAAACUGGGGCUAAUACCGGAUAGGAGCUCCUGCUGCAUGGUGGGGGUUGGAAAGUUUCGGCGGUUGGGGAUGGACUCGCGGCUUAUCAGCUUGUUGGUGGGGUAGUGGCUUACCAAGGCUUUGACGGGUAGCCGGCCUGAGAGGGUGACCGGCCACAUUGGGACUGAGAUACGGCCCAGACUCCUACGGGAGGCAGCAGUGGGGAAUAUUGCACAAUGGGCGGAAGCCUGAUGCAGCAACGCCGCGUGCGGGAUGACGGCCUUCGGGUUGUAAACCGCUUUCGCCUGUGACGAAGCGUGAGUGACGGUAAUGGGUAAAGAAGCACCGGCUAACUACGUGCCAGCAGCCGCGGUGAUACGUAGGGCGCGAGCGUUGUCCGGAUUUAUUGGGCGUAAAGGGCUCGUAGGUGGUUGAUCGCGUCGGAAGUGUAAUCUUGGGGCUUAACCCUGAGCGUGCUUUCGAUACGGGUUGACUUGAGGAAGGUAGGGGAGAAUGGAAUUCCUGGUGGAGCGGUGGAAUGCGCAGAUAUCAGGAGGAACACCAGUGGCGAAGGCGGUUCUCUGGGCCUUUCCUGACGCUGAGGAGCGAAAGCGUGGGGAGCGAACAGGCUUAGAUACCCUGGUAGUCCACGCUGUAAACGGUGGGUACUAGGUGUGGGGUCCAUUCCACGGGUUCCGUGCCGUAGCUAACGCUUUAAGUACCCCGCCUGGGGAGUACGGCCGCAAGGCUAAAACUCAAAGGAAUUGACGGGGCCCCGCACAAGCGGCGGAGCAUGCGGAUUAAUUCGAUGCAACGCGUAGAACCUUACCUGGGUUUGACAUGGAUCGGGAGUGCUCAGAGAUGGGUGUGCCUCUUUUGGGGUCGGUUCACAGGUGGUGCAUGGCUGUCGUCAGCUCGUGUCGUGAGAUGUUGGGUUAAGUCCCGCAACGAGCGCAACCCUUGUUCACUGUUGCCAGCACGUUAUGGUGGGGACUCAGUGGAGACCGCCGGGGUCAACUCGGAGGAAGGUGGGGAUGACGUCAAGUCAUCAUGCCCCUUAUGUCCAGGGCUUCACGCAUGCUACAAUGGCUGGUACAGAGAGUGGCGAGCCUGUGAGGGUGAGCGAAUCUCGGAAAGCCGGUCUCAGUUCGGAUUGGGGUCUGCAACUCGACCUCAUGAAGUCGGAGUCGCUAGUAAUCGCAGAUCAGCAACGCUGCGGUGAAUACGUUCCCGGG